CGUCGAUCGACCGCGACUGAAAAGUUUGGCUACAUCGUGCGGUUCAGCAACUGGCACAACUAUCAGAUUCCCAUCUAGAACGUGACAGACCAGUUAGUGUAGAUCCGCUUUGUUCGAACAUGGCGACCUGUGGCAGUAAGAAGCACGUUGCAUCAACAUCUACCGUCGCCGGAACAUCUGACUGGCCAGGUCGAGGGCAACUGCAUGCAGAACCACCACCAAUCGCCGAGCCAUGGUCCGACAAGGAGGCGCGAACCUCAUCCGUAGCCAGUCAGCCAGACUGGAUUGGCUGAAGACUCGGAAAAGCUGGCCUGCGAGGAACCGAGGGAGGUUGGGUCGAAGAUGAGCCAGUUGGUGCACUUCUGUACGAGAAAGAUUACAUCGUCGAUGCUGAGGAAAUCGGAAGGAGGACAUUCAGAAGAUGUUGUCCAAGCUUGUCGAGUAAAAGGAGGAACAGGAUUGUUGUGCUUCUCGUAGAGAAACGAAUCAAUUACGCAGUAGACAGCUGAAUAAAUAAUCCAUUUCUGCUGAGAAGUUUUUAUUUGUAUUAUUAAAGAAAGUGAAUCCUGUGUCUGAAAUAAAAUAUACUGAGAAAAAAAACUAAA
Culex quinquefasciatus (southern house mosquito) is the source of this 605-nucleotide long non-coding RNA. RefSeq lists it as uncharacterized. The record is from RefSeq and is a predicted model, not a curated record. The transcript has 2 exons. NCBI's taxonomy places the organism in Eukaryota, Metazoa, Arthropoda, Insecta, Diptera, Culicidae.